GAUGAACGCUAGCGGCAGGCCUAACACAUGCAAGUCGAGGGGCAGCGAGAGGUAGCAAUACUUUGUCGGCGACCGGCGCACGGGUGCGUAACGCGUAUGCAACCUACCUAUAACAGGGGGAUAAUCAAGAGAAAUUUUGUCUAAUACCCCGUAAUACUAAAAACGGCAUCGUUUAUAGUUGAAAGAUUUAUUGGUUAUAGAUGGGCAUGCGUGACAUUAGCUAGAUGGUGAGGUAACGGCUCACCAUGGCUACGAUGUACUAGGGGAACUGAGAGGUUUAUCCCCCACACUGGUACUGAGACACGGACCAGACUCCUACGGGAGGCAGCAGUGAGGAAUAUUGGUCAAUGGACGCAAGUCUGAACCAGCCAUGCCGCGUGCAGGAAGACGGCUCUAUGAGUUGUAAACUGCUUUUAUAAGAGAAUAAAAAUAGCCACGAGUGGUUAAAUUGAAUGUAUCUUACGAAUAAGGAUCGGCUAACUCCGUGCCAGCAGCCGCGGUAAUAC
RNAcentral lists this ribosomal RNA (506 nucleotides) under uncultured bacterium. RNAcentral's name for it is "bacterial SSU rRNA". It matches the Rfam family "Bacterial small subunit ribosomal RNA", at positions 28 to 526 of the family's 1533-position model. The record is from RNAcentral.